GUAAGUCUCUGCCAGUCACCCUGUCCCAUACGUGUUCUUGGUCAAGUCCUCUCACUGUUUUAGGCUCUGGCUGAACCUAAUCAUCUCUAGAAAGGUCCAGCUGUAAAAAGCUAUGAUUCUAGAUUUUGGGAAGAGCUACCUUUUUGUAGUUUAUUCUGGAAGUCAGAGAGCAUGACUUUUGAGCCUACCUGGGGGUACAAAAGGCACAGACCAGAGCAUGUGCCUGUGUAAGUCACUGCCAUCAGCUGCCUGCCUGCUAAGUCACUUCAGUUGUGUCCAGCUCCUUGCGACCCUAUGGACUGUAGCCUGCCAGGCUCCUCUGUCCAUGGGAUUCUCCAGGCAAGAAUACCAGAGUGGAUUCCCAGGCCCUCCUCCAGGGGAUCUUCCCGACCCAGAGAUCGAAUCCACGUCUCUUAGGUCUCCUGCAUUGGCAGAGCAAAGAACAUUCUCCCUGUGUGGCAACUGGACACUGAACAUGGACUCUGGAGGGAGGUGGACAUGGCUAGCAGGUACAGAAUUACCUGGAGAACUGGUGGCAGUGGCCAGCAGACCCCUGAAACCCAGCAGGAAAAAGUUGCCGUGCCACUGGUAACUCACCGGGGCCUGCCAGGUUGAAAGGCAGCAUCAACACGAUUGACAGCUGAAACCCGACCCUCUGCACCACACCCAGAAGCCCCUGGACAACUUCCGGCUGCCCCAGGGUGAGGAGGGAGCUUGUGGCCCUACUCAGUGCUGGACAGGCAGGGGGAAAGCUGGACCAUCUUUGCAGUUCAGAUCAUCACCUGGAAGGGUCUGUGGCAUCGUGCCCUGGCCUCGCAUCACAAAGGUCUUUGCGCGAUGUUCUGGCUUCCAGGCUGUGUGGCUAAGUGUCGGGAAAUGAAGGCACAUGGAGGCCGAAGGAGGGUCUCACGGCUGCUCUGAGUUCCAGCAGCUGAGAAGCCUGUGGCUGGUGGCCUUGCCUGAUGGCCCUUUAUGAUGUCAUAGUCUGGCCCAUGUUAGACUCUCCACAAAUGUUAUUGGAUGGAUAGAUGGAUGGACAGAUGGUAUUACUUAAACCAAGCAGCUGUACUCUCUCUUGCUUGAUAAGUGAUUAAUAAAAUAAGACAUUCCCAGUCUUUCUUUUUAUUAAUAAGUCAAAAAGGGAAAGGUGAAAGUGCAUAUAUAUGUAUGUAUAACUGAUUCACUUUGCUGCACAUCUGAAACUAACAGCAUUGUAAGUCAACUAUAUACCAGUAUAAGAUUAAAAGAAGGAAAGUUGAAUGUAUGCAAAUGUGUGGGAGUAUAUACAUGUGGGAGAGUGUAUAAGUAUGUAUGUGAGUGUGUGUGUGUGUGUGCUUUUGUGUGAACACAUGUACCUGCCUAAGUACUUGUGACUCUGGGUACAUGUGAUUGUGUGUACAUAUAUGUGAGAGUGUCCUUGGGUGUGUCUGUGUAUGGGGUGUGUGAGUGUGAGUUUGUGAAUGUCUGAGCGUGAGGAUAUGCACGACAGUCACCUACACACGAACCUUCAAACUGCAAACUUUGAAAGAUACGAAUGUGCAUCUAGUUCCAGCAAGGAGCCAGAACCCAUGCCGUCAGCAUCAGGCGUGAGUGAACUCUUAGCUUGCCCUCCGUCUCCUGUUGCUGACGGCCCUUCAGCUCUACCGUCUCCCACCUCCUCUCCCUCCUCCAUCAGGAACUCUUCUGGCCUGUUCACUCCGUGCCAGCCCCUGUGUGCCAGCUAUUGUACUGUGCUUUACUUUCAUAGGUCCUCUAAGAU
Long non-coding RNA from Bos taurus (domestic cattle), 1759 nucleotides. Lineage: Eukaryota; Metazoa; Chordata; Mammalia; Artiodactyla; Bovidae. The record is from Ensembl.